RNAcentral lists this ribosomal RNA (405 nucleotides) under uncultured bacterium. Its description in RNAcentral is "bacterial SSU rRNA". It matches the Rfam family "Bacterial small subunit ribosomal RNA", at positions 355 to 776 of the family's 1533-position model. The record is from RNAcentral.
CAGGGAAUCUUGCACAAUGGGCGAAAGCCUGAUGCAGCGACGCCGCGUGAGGGAUGAAGGCUUUAGGGUUGUAAACCUCUUUUCUCAGGGAAGAGCAAGGACGGUACCUGAGGAAUAAGCCACGGCUAACUACGUGCCAGCAGCCGCGGUAAUACGUAGGUGGCAAACGUUGUCCGGAAUUACUGGGCGUAAAGGGCCCGUAGGUGGUCUGCUAAGUCGUUUGUGAAAUCUCCCGGCUCAACCGGGAGAGGUCGGACGAUACUGACAGACUUGAGGGUAUCAGAGGAAGACGGAAUUCCCGGUGUAGUGGUGAAAUGCGUAGAUAUCGGGAGGAACACCAGUGGCGAAAGCGGUCUUCUGGGAUACAUCUGACACUGAGGGGCGAAAGCGUGGGGAGCAAACCGG